CAAUAGCGUAUAUUAAAGUUGUUGCAGUUAAAAAGCUCGUAGUUGGAUUUGUGGCGUACGGUGUGUUCCGGGCACUUGUUGUCUGAGUAACCUGCUGUUGCCAUCCUUGGGUGGAACCUGUGUGGCAUUAGGUUGUCGUGCAGGGGAUGCCCAUCAUUUACUGUGAAAAAAUUAGAGUGUUCAAAGCAGGCUUAUGCCGAUGAAUAUAUUAGCAUGGAAUAAUGAGAUAGGACUUUUUUGCUAUUUUGUUGGUUUGCGCAAAGAGGUAAUGAUUAAUAGGGACAGUUGGGGGUAUUCGUAUUCCAUUGUCAGAGGUGAAAUUCUUGGAUUUUUGGAAGACGAACUACUGCGAAAGCAUUUACCAAGGAUGUUUUCAUUAA
RNAcentral lists this ribosomal RNA (380 nucleotides) under uncultured eukaryote. RNAcentral describes it as "partial 18S ribosomal RNA". It matches the Rfam family "Eukaryotic small subunit ribosomal RNA", at positions 592 to 976 of the family's 1831-position model. The record is from RNAcentral.